AAUAUUGGACAAUGGGCGCAAGCCUGAUCCAGCCAUGCCGCGUGAGUGAUGAAGGCCCUAGGGUUGUAAAGCUCUUUCAACGGUGAAGAUAAUGACGGUAACCGUAGAAGAAGCCCCGGCUAACUUCGUGCCAGCAGCCGCGGUAAUUCGAAGGGGGCUAGCGUUGUUCGGAAUUACUGGGAGUAAAGCGCACGUAGGCGGAUCGGUCAGUUAGGGAUGAAAUCCCAGGGCUCAACCCUGGAACUACCUUUAAUACUGCUGGUCUAGAGUUCGAGAGAGGUGAGUGGAAUUCCGAGUGUAGAGGUGAAAUUCGUAGAUAUUCGGAGGAACACCAGUGGCGAAGGCGACCACCUGGGCUAAUACUGACACUGAGGUGCGAAAGCGUGGGGAGCAGAC
RNAcentral lists this ribosomal RNA (396 nucleotides) under uncultured bacterium. RNAcentral's name for it is "partial 16S ribosomal RNA". It matches the Rfam family "Bacterial small subunit ribosomal RNA", at positions 360 to 773 of the family's 1533-position model. The record is from RNAcentral.